GUGGGGAAUCUUGCGCAAUGGGCGAAAGCCUGACGCAGCAACGCCGCGUGGGGGACGAAGGCUCUCGGGUUGUAAACCCCUUUCAGCAGGAACGAAAUUGACGGUACCUGCAGAAGAAGCCCCGGCCAACUACGUGCCAGCAGCCGCGGUAAUACGUAGGGGGCGAGCGUUGUCCGGAUUCAUUGGGCGUAAAGAGCUCGUAGGCGGUUUGGUAAGUCGGGUGUGAAAACCCCAGGCUCAACCUGGGGACGCCACCUGAUACUGCCAUGACUUGAGUCUGGUAGGGGAUCACGGAAUUCCUGGUGUAGCGGUGAAAUGCGCAGAUAUCAGGAGGAACACCGGUGGCGAAGGCGGUGAUCUGGGCCAGUACUGACGCUGAGGAGCGAAAGCGUGGGUAGCAAACAGGAUUAGAUACCCCAGUAGUCC
Molecule: ribosomal RNA, 426 nt
Filed under: uncultured bacterium
Lineage: Bacteria
Description: bacterial SSU rRNA
Rfam family: Bacterial small subunit ribosomal RNA
Source: RNAcentral